AAGUUGGGCACCAGAGUCGCCGCCAGGCUCACCGCCAGCACCAACGCCCAACGCAGCCACCAGCAGUACCUCUUGCCACACAGCCACCGCUCCGCGACCUCGAACACCGGGUUCAUCAUCACCGGGAACGUGAAGAAGAGGUUGAUGCAAAGGCCGAGCUGGAUGAGCAGCGUGAGCACGCCGGCGCCGAGGUUGGUGGUGAUGAUGUCCCUGGUGUCGUCGCCGAAGGCGGCGUAACCGAGCACGCCGAAGAGGCCGUAGAGGAGGGCGAUGAAGGCCAUGGACAGGCCGAGGGUGCGCCCGAACUUGGACUUGUCGGCAGCCUCGGCCUCGAGGGGGAGGACCAUGCCGAUGCCCUCGAAGGCGUAGACCGCGACGCCGGCGCCGUAGAGGAGGACGGACGGACCGGCGAAUGCGUGGAUGGGCGGGGGGCGGGAGACCAUGAUGGAGACGUCCUCGGCGAUGACGACGCCCAUGGCGCCGAGGUCAACCACGUCGGCGAAGAUGCUGAGCGGGGCGAGGAGGGUGAGGCUCCGGAUGGAGUUGAGGCCCAGCUGGAAGGGCAGCAUGGCCAGAACGUAGAGGGCUUUAGAGGAGAGGAAGGGGAGGGAGAGAGGGAGGAGGUGGGUGAGGGAGCUGGAGAUGAAGAUGAGGUAACCGACGCAGAACCCGGCCUGGCUAAGCACGAUCAUGGCAUCGACGGCCAGGCGGCCGAGGGAGCCGGAUACGGCGAGGCCGAGGUCGCCGAAGGAGGCGAUCUUGGCAGAUCCGUCAAGGUCGAGGCGGCGGCGGGUGCGGACGAUGAGCAUCAUGCAGUGGAAGGUGAGGGCGGCGACGGCGAGGAGGAGGAGGGCGCCGGCGGCCCACCCGGUGCGCCGGAACGCGUACGGGAGGCCCAGGACGCCGGAGCCCACGAUCGCGAUGAACACGUUCGCGAACGUCUUGGGCUGCGACGACAGCCGACCCCGGAGGUCGCCGCCGCCCACCGACGGAAGC
Molecule: long non-coding RNA, 996 nt
Filed under: Musa acuminata (dwarf banana)
Lineage: Eukaryota; Viridiplantae; Streptophyta; Magnoliopsida; Zingiberales; Musaceae
Description: long non-coding RNA (MACU_LNC000063)
Source: RNAcentral